GUCGAUGGCCAUGCUACCCUGAACAAGCUCAAUCCCAUCUGAUCUUGGAAGCUAAGCAGGGUCGGGCCUGGUUAAUAUUUGGAUGGGAGACCACCUAGGAAGACUGGGUGCUGUAGGCA
This 119-nucleotide ribosomal RNA is filed under the name Pteropus alecto (black flying fox). RNAcentral also lists the same sequence under 1 other name. The record is from RNAcentral. Lineage: Eukaryota; Metazoa; Chordata; Mammalia; Chiroptera; Pteropodidae.